GAGUUUGAUCGUGGCUCAGAUUGAACGCUGGCGGCAGGCCUAACACAUGCAAGUCGAGCGGAUGACGGGAGCUUGCUCCUUGAUUCAGCGGCGGACGGGUGAGUAAUGCCUAGGAAUCUGCCUGGUAGUGGGGGACAGCGUUUCGAAAGGAACGCUAAUACCGCAUACGUCCUACGGGAGAAAGCAGGGGACCUUCGGGCCUUGCGCUAUCAGAUGAGCCUAGGUCGGAUUAGCUAGUCGGUGGGGUAAUGGCUCACCAAGGCGACGGUCCGUAACUGGUCUGAGAGGAUGAUCAGUCACACUGGAACUGAGACACGGUCCAGACUCCUACGGGAGGCAGCAGUGGGGAAUAUUGGACAAUGGGCGAAAGCCUGAUCCAGCCAUGCCGCGUGUGUGAAGAAGGUCUUCGGAUUGUAAAGCACUUUAAGUUGGGAGGAAGGGCAGUAAGUUAAUACCUUGCUGUUUUGACGUUACCGACAGGAUAAGCACCGGCUAACUCUGUGCCAGCAGCCG
RNAcentral lists this ribosomal RNA (513 nucleotides) under bacterium enrichment culture clone ALO1_GLFRUDD03G6BGC. Its description in RNAcentral is "bacterial SSU rRNA". It matches the Rfam family "Bacterial small subunit ribosomal RNA", at positions 9 to 517 of the family's 1533-position model. The record is from RNAcentral.